GCGACCGAAUUAGUCUCCCUGUUGCAAUGUCUGGGACCAAAUCAACACAAUCCAGGGAGUUUGUUGUUGUUGAGAACUGCCAAACAAUGAAAUAAUUAAGUUGAUAUAAUUCACCUGUGUUCAGUUUUUUUUGUUGCCUUUAAGGUGUAUCUUUGUUUUUUGUUUUUGUUUUUGUUUAGAAUCAACCUUUGAUAGUUUCUUUGUGAUUGCAUGAAUCGGCCCAAUUUUUGUUCAUAAACGUAAAGCCCCAGAAAUGGCGUCAAGCUAAGGAUUUCCUCGAUCUAAAAAAACGCAGCCAAGGAUUUCAUAUAAAUCAGUAAUCACCCUCAAGGUUAAGACGCUUACUACCUAAUCUGAACGAGGAGAACAACACCUUACAUCCCUACAAGAAGAAACAAAUGUCUUAACAAAGAUUAAAAAAAAAACUCCAGAAGAGGUGUACACACGGUU
This 450-nucleotide long non-coding RNA is filed under the name Brachypodium distachyon (stiff brome). RNAcentral's name for it is "long non-coding RNA (BDIS_LNC005871)". Lineage: Eukaryota; Viridiplantae; Streptophyta; Magnoliopsida; Poales; Poaceae. The record is from RNAcentral.